RNAcentral lists this ribosomal RNA (292 nucleotides) under uncultured Alphaproteobacteria bacterium. RNAcentral describes it as "partial 16S ribosomal RNA". Lineage: Bacteria; Pseudomonadati; Pseudomonadota; Alphaproteobacteria. The record is from RNAcentral.
GGACUACACGGGUAUCUAAUCCUGUUUGCUCCCCACGCUUUCGCGCCUUAGCGUCAGUAUUGUGCCAGUAAGCCGCCUUCGCCACUGAUGUUCUUAUGAAUAUCUACGAAUUUCACCUCUACACUCAUAAUUCCACUUACCUCUCACAAUCUCUAGCCUUGCAGUAUCAAAUGCAGUUCCCAGGUUAAGCCCGGGGCUUUCACAUCUGACUUUCAAAGCCGCCUACGCGCCCUUUACGCCCAGUAAUUCCGAACAACGCUAGCUCCCUUCGUAUUACCGCGGCUGCUGGCAC